AACGAACGCUGGCGGCAUGCCUAACACAUGCAAGUCGAACGAGACCUUCGGGUCUAGUGGCGCACGGGUGCGUAACGCGUGGGAACCUGCCCUUAGGUUCGGAAUAACUCCCCGAAAGGGGUGCUAAUACCGGAUAAUGUCUUCGGACCAAAGAUUUAUCGCCUUUGGAUGGGCCCGCGUUGGAUUAGCUAGUUGGUAGGGUAAAAGCCUACCAAGGCGACGAUCCAUAGCUGGUCUGAGAGGAUGAUCAGCCACACUGGGACUGAGACACGGCCCAGACUCCUAGGGGAGGCAGCAGUGGGGAAUAUUGGACAAUGGGCGAAAGCCUGAUCCAGCAUGCCGCGUGAGUGAUGAAGGCCUUAGGGUUGUAAAGCUCUUUUACCCGGGAUGAUAAUGACAGUACCGGGAGAAUAAGCUCCGGCUAACUCCGUG
This 432-nucleotide ribosomal RNA is filed under the name uncultured bacterium. Its description in RNAcentral is "partial 16S ribosomal RNA". It matches the Rfam family "Bacterial small subunit ribosomal RNA", at positions 29 to 507 of the family's 1533-position model. The record is from RNAcentral.